Long non-coding RNA from Stylophora pistillata, 571 nucleotides. The record is from RefSeq and is a predicted model, not a curated record. NCBI's taxonomy places the organism in Eukaryota, Metazoa, Cnidaria, Anthozoa, Scleractinia, Pocilloporidae.
AGAUAGCCGAUCCUUCAUUGUCAUUUCUUACUCAGCUUCAUCGGUUGAAAAAGAUUUUGAGCGAUUACAGUAUGGAAACUCUUUGGGUUUUGACUAUUGCACUUUUCACCCUGUCCUUAGAAAUAUCCUGGGCGAAAGGUAUGUAUGUGUUGCACUGUCCAAUUGUUCUUUUUUAGCGUGUCGUUUGGUUGAAUAGAGUCAGUUUUAGAAGAAGUCCCUGCUGGUAAUUGCGAAAAACGUUUAGAGCCAAAUUCAGUACGCCGGCCCGUCUUUAUGCAGAGAUCGUACACAGGGAGUUAAAAAAAAAAUAGAUAUGAAUAAAAGUCAUAGACAUUGCUCAUCUGAACUGCUUUCCAUUUUUCACGCUGACGUUUCAUUUCACACGGAGCUGCGCUCGACAGUCUGCGAAUUGUUCCUCUUGAUACACAUCUUCGAGAAUAAAACAAAGUUUGAUUGGCCAUGCCACCUUUUAAUUUUAUUCGUAGCCGAUUGUAGCAGGUGUCAUUUUAUUGCGCGCGUGCGCUCACCUUCUCAUUUAUUUAUUUGAGGUCAAAUUUACUAGAUGAACACU